UACGUAGGAUGCAAGCGUUGUCCGGAAUUAUUGGGCGUAAAGAGCGCGCAGGCGGUUCGUCAAGUCAGAUGUGAAAUAUCCCGGCUUAACCGGGAGGGGCCAUUUGAAACUGACGGACUAGAGUGGAGCAGAGGAUAGUGGAAUUCCCGGUGUAGUGGUGAAAUGCGUAGAUAUCGGGAGGAACACCAGUGGCGAAGGCGACUAUCUGGGCUUUAACUGACGCUGAGGCGCGAAGGCCGGGGGAGCAAACAGG
This 253-nucleotide ribosomal RNA is filed under the name uncultured bacterium. RNAcentral's name for it is "partial 16S ribosomal RNA". It matches the Rfam family "Bacterial small subunit ribosomal RNA", at positions 524 to 776 of the family's 1533-position model. The record is from RNAcentral.